UUUUAGGUAAACUAAGCUGACGGGUUCAUACCCCGUCUAUGAGAGCUCUCUCUUUAAAAU
RNAcentral lists this transfer RNA (60 nucleotides) under Proasellus ebrensis. RNAcentral's name for it is "transfert RNA-M(ATG)". The record is from RNAcentral. Lineage: Eukaryota; Metazoa; Arthropoda; Malacostraca; Isopoda; Asellidae.